GAGUCCGGACUCCCAGCCCCCCUCUAACCCACCCCACUCCCUUCUUGGAGAACCCAGGUGUCCUGAUCCCCUAGCCAUCCCAACUCACUGAACCCCAACAGUGUGAGAGAAACACAAGACAGACCUGAUGGUGAAAGCGAUACACAGAAGAAAGGAAAGAUAUUCAGACACAAACAGAGAAGCGCAGGGCCAGAAGGGUGAGUGGGGGACCACUAGUUACACUAUAUAAGGGGGGAGGAGCAACCUUUUCAGCUCAAGAACCCCUUUCUUGGCGUUAGCUGGGGUAAGGAGGUCUCACCCCCCCAUUAAUCCAGUAUGUGAUCCCCCCUCCCCAGUCAAUACCCCACCUGUAUGAAAAGCUAUAGAGAGAACGGUGGGGAAGGCCCGGCCCUGAUUCCAUCUCAUGAUGCUCAGCCAAGGCAGGUAUGAAAUCGGGCUGACAGGGUCUGCACACUUGGUCCGAACAGCGGCACGGGGUGGGCCACGCCGGGGCCCACAAGGGUCAGCUGGAGAGGAAGAAGUGCCAGGACCCAGUUGAGGACAGGGAGAGGUGAAGGAAGAGAAAGCGGCAGGGAGCAGAAGAGAGACUGAAAAGUACCGUGAGCCAUUGAGAGCUGGAGAGAGCUAGGCAGAAAGAUGGAGAGGAAGUUCUAGCGAGUUGAAGAGAGUCAGAUAGAAAGUUGUCGAGAGCCAGACAGUUGGCCAGAGCCAGCGAGAAAGUUGGGGAGAGCCCAAGAGGAAGUUGUUCGGAGUGGCAGCGCGGCAGACGGAAAGGUGCGGAGAAAACUGUAGCAAGCGAACACAACAAAAAGCCACCACAGAAACCAUGAGAACGAAAGGAAAACAGACAACAGACGACAGAUGAGAGCAGAACACAAGGCAGCGGAAUAAAGGGCACACACCACAAUCUCAAACCAGGGGACAAGGAAGUUCAACCUGAUAUUUUUAAGCCACAAUUGUGCUAGAUUUGACUGCACGUUAUCUCUGGGUACAUCCAGACUACCUGGCGGAUCGGCAGUAGUGAUUGAUCCCCGAAUGUGCUCCCGUUGACUCCGGAACGCCAUGAGAGGCCAUCGAUCCCACGCCGUGAGGACGGGAGUGUAGACCAGGCCUCCAAGAGGCAAAAGGAGCCCCUGCGGCUGAGAGGUGAAACCAAAUUCAGACUGGGAACAAGGGAAACAUUUUUCACGGCAGGAUGGCCAACUCUGGAGAUUUUCGUUGCCGCUCUCACGAGAGCUGGCACUCGUUCUAAAGCCCCGGUGUCCUGUGAUGACGGGGGAAUCUCAGCUGUCAAAUUGUUGUUUAAAAUCCAAGUUUUGAGUUGACAGACACGCUCCAAAGUGCAGUGUUAGCAAAAUGGAAGGCCAAUAACCUAACAUUUGGUAUAUUUUAAAGCUGAUCUCAUGGACUUUCAAGGCUCAGCGUCAGCAACAUGAAAGAUGCAACAGAUUCUCAAUAGCUUGGCAUCAUUUAGCUUGACGUUGGCUGUGUCUCCACGGGCUACCCUCUUGCUCAAACUCAAGGUAAUGCAGAAAUCAUGGGGGGAGGGGGUGGGCAGGGAAAUUCUCUGGGUUGUGUCAGACUGGAUGAUCUCUUCAGGCCUUUAAUGUCUAAUGAAAUGAAACUUCUUCAGUCUGCAUAUACACAAUCAAACUAUCUGAAAAGCCUGGCUGGUGAGUCUACGUUAGCAAAACCACGCCUGGAGUUAAAAGAUCUGGGUUGUUUUAAACCAUUGCCUUGCUAAAGAUGUGCUUUAUAGAAAUGUAAAUCACGGGGUAAAGUUCAGGGUGAAACUCUCUGGCUCGUGCUAUGCAAGAGGACAGAUUAGAUAGCCCACUUGAGGGGGGAAGGCUUAGCAGUUAGGCGCUGGCUUUAAUGAAGCACAUUAGGACAGACAUUGAAAGCCGGAAGAAUCGGACAAUUCAUUUGCUUUCGAAUGAACAAAAAAGAGAAAGACUUCAAACAAAUAGAUUAAAAAAAUCAGAAGCAAACGCCCAGAAGUGACUCUCCAACACUCCGUGACCAGGCUGGGGGUUGGAGGGAAAAGCGCAUUCAGAGGGAAAAAAGCAACUCAGCAGGCAAAAGGCAAUGACCAUCGGGUUCCUCAGUUAAUAUUUACACACAGGAGAAGGGAUGGAAAGAACAAAUGGCAAAACAGACCCAGAGGAAGGGAAGGGGAGCGGGGGUGGGGUGUUCCUGUUAACGAAUGGGGCCUGGGAUCCUGCUGAAACUGACUUGCCCAUUGAAACGGAUGGGGCUGUGAAAGCCUUUAAGUUGAUGCACCUGCUUAAAUCUGAAGCCACGCCCUGUUCUCGUUAAGUCCUUCGCUAAAGCAAGCUGGCCCAUGGACCCCGACGGAUCGAUGCCCGGCCCAGAUUUACACGAAGCAGCCAAGGGCUCACUGAGUCCGAUCCGAAGGCAGAGACGCUCCGAAAGGAAGCGGUGGAUUGGCCUGAAACAUCAGCUCUAGACUGGCCGCGCCAGCCAGCCCCAGGUUUUUAGGCUCCAGGCAGGGAUCAGAUGAGACACUUGAAAUCCCAUUGACUUUUCCUGCUAGUCGGCAGGUCGGCAUCUCAAAGGCAGGCUCACGUGUCGUGCUGAGCAGGGAUGGAUUUGGGCGCACAGGACUGGAGAGGCGACGGCAGCAAAUCCAUCCCAUACGUGCUCUGGUCGAAUCAGCGCCCGCACGCACAAAGGCGAUGCCUGUCAUGUGUUUAUAAAAUCCAGAUCCUCGACUGUGGUUCCACUCAUUUCCACGGACAUCAAGGAAGUCAGGAGCCUAAAUAGCGUUGAUGAUCGGGGCCUAGCACAGCCAUCGCGGUCAUCCGCACGCUGGCUGCUUUGUUAAAUCCAGGGCCGCACAGAGAUCUGUUGGUGUUCAUGGGCGCGCCUCACAUGGAUGAGGUGACGGGGUUGGGAGGGUGUCUCCUGCAGGGGUCAGUCCUGGGUCCGGUAUCAGCCCAGCUGACAUUGUCGCGAAUGACUUGGCUAAUGGAGUGGAGAGUGUGCUAUUCAAUUUGCAGAUGACCCGAGCAGGGAGGAGUGGAGGACAGGAUUCAAAUUCAAAACGCCCUUGACAAAUUGGAGAAUUGGUCUGUAGCCAUCACCGGGAGGUUCAAUACAGACACGUUCAAAGUCCUUCACUCAGGAAGGAAAAAAUCAAACACACCGCUACAAAACGAGGACUAAGUGGGUAGGGGGUCAGAUGGCUGGAAAGGCUCUGGCGGUGACAGUGGGUCACAAAUUGGAGCUGAAUCAGCAAUGGGAUGUAUUUUUGAAAAAAGGCAAAUGACGAAUAUCAUUCUAGGGUGUAUGAACAUGCGUGUCAUAGGUACAUGCAUGUCGUAGGUACAUGUGUGUCUUAGGUAAGACACGGAAGGUGAUUGUCCCGCUCUGCUCGGGCCUCAGCUGGAGUCCUGUGACUUUAGGCCAGACGGGGACAAAUUGCAGAGAGUCCAGAGGACAGCAACAGAAGUGAGAAAAGGUUUAGAAAACCUGACUUACGAGGGAAGGUUACGGGGUUUGUGGAGUGGAAUCCUCCACCCUCGAUCCUCAGGGGGAAGGAUGCUGGUUCUUAGGGCGCUCCCGGGGGGCCUGGCUGAGCUCGGGGCUAGAGAAGAGGGGUGAUAUAUUCUUCUCCCAGUAGGUGGAAUUAUAUCUGCCCUGCAUAUACCCUGUCCAUGAGGAAUGAAAGCAGCUCUCCACCUUCACAGCCGUGGGAGGUGAGUUCAUUUGUUGGGGUUUGUAUCAAGCUGGCCAUGAAGGGGUGUGUCUCUCUGUCUCUGUGUGUGAAAUGCUACCCCCUGCUGGAAGAAAUCAGACCUGGUGUAUGCAAGCUCACACAUGCAUUUUGCACGCCGCCCCCUCCCCCUCCCAAAAUUGGUUCACUCUAUGGGUGGGCGAGUGCGUUUGCACCACCGCUCACUACUGUACAUCCUCAGCUCACUAUGUACGUGUGGAUGCGUGUGAUGUGGUGCUAUUUAACCGACCAAAACCAGCUCGCAUCUCCGAUCUGGAACAAAACAUUGGUUCCUCUUAGGUUCAGAGAGAGGGAAGGGAAAACUCUUUCGAUCCAAAAUGGAGCAAAUAAUACGGGACAGGGAUGGGAAAAUAGAGGGGCGAUAAAUCCAGACAGGAUCCCAGGUCAUGCGGUGAUUGGAAAACGAAUUUAUUUUGGCAGUUCUUUGAUAUGUUUUCAAGCAGCGAAAGGAGGGACAUGUCAGUGGGUUUUUUCUUUUUAGUUCAUUUGUCUUUUUAAAAAUGUUUUAGUGCCACACAGACGAAAAGGGGAUGAGGAAGAGACCGGAAGUGGAAACAGGAAAGGGAAGAAGGAAAGAAAAAUGAAGAGGUUAUUUGUCUGUUUCUUAGCAAACACACCACAGAUUACAGGAAAACAGCCCACACUGAAACAAUACACAGCUCAAUACCCCAAAAGGGAAGUUGAGGGACAUCGACAACGUGGUAGGAAUUUUUCUCCCGCAUUUGUUUUGUUUUUUUAGUCCUUUUUAACGUCUUUUUUUUUGUUCGCUUUUGUGUUUUGUUUAAAAAAGAUCAAAAAAUCUAAGUUUGGUUUGUUCUUUUUUUUUUCUUUUUCGGAAGGUAGGCUGGGAAUGCAGACAUGGUGGAAUGGAGGUUGUGUAGGUAGGUAAAGGUGCUGUGAGCGCACACACAGAACACACACUAUAUAUCACAGCUAGACCCUGGGAACAAGCCGCAGCUGAUGUGAAUUGUUAGUAGUGAUAAAUCCACGGAACUAUCGUCAUUUGUACGAACUGUGAAUCUGGCUCUGUGUGUGUGUGUGUCUAGUAUAUUUUAACAUGCUAUACAUAGGCAUAUAGUAUAUUUGUGAUAUAUGUGUGUAUACAUAGUUACACACAUAUAUAGUAUAGCUACUAUAUAUAUGGGAAUGUAGAUAUAUGCUUACACAUAAAAGGACACACAGAGGACAUUUUAUAUAUAUAUGUGUGUGCGCAUAUAUAUGCAUAUAUACAGUAGCUAAACAUCUGUAGUAAAUUUACUAUAUAUGUAUGUGUGUAUUUAUUUAUAUACAACAUAUAUA
Long non-coding RNA from Gopherus evgoodei (Goodes thornscrub tortoise), 5059 nucleotides. RefSeq lists it as uncharacterized. The transcript is spliced from 4 exons. Lineage: Eukaryota; Metazoa; Chordata; Testudines; Testudinidae. The record is from RefSeq and is a predicted model, not a curated record.